AAUCAACAGCUGAAAAUAAAAAUCUCAUAAAACACUUCAAAAAUAAAUUUUGCGAUUUUCGAAAUGGUUUACUUAGUGAUCGAAAAGUUCAAAAAUCAACAAUUUUAAUGGUCGAUAUCUGCCAUGUCAUGUUUUAACGGCGUAGAUGUAUCCAAAUCAGAUGAAUUUUGAUAGAAAAUUCUUUAUACUAUCUACAGCAAGUUCAAUAUCUCUGAUAGAAAAUUUUAGUACUAUAUCACCACCUUUUAUGAGAUUUUAUUUUCAACCGUUGAUUUUGAACCUUUCGAUCACUAAGUAAACGAUAUCGAAAAAUCGCAAAAUUAUUUUCUAGAUACUUCAAAUAUGCUAGAUCAAGUAUAGCGGAGCUAUCACGAUUCUGGAGUCUCAUCAUCGAAAAUGCUCAGGAGCACGAGGGCUCUGUGCCUCCUGAUGAGCACCAACAACUUGGUGCUAUUAUAUAUUACAAUAUAUAUAUAUAUAUAUAUGUAUAGAGAGAGAGAGAGAGAGAGUUCGGCUACUAUACUCUUAUGAGUACGAUCGCCCUCGUACUCAUAAGUUGCCCUCGUACUCAUAAGUUGUUUUCGAUGAUAGAGCUUCCGAAUCGACGAUCCACACCGUUAAACAUUAUCUAGAGCAUUUAAAACGUCUAGAAUUCAAAAUUUAUAAUUUUUCGACAUUAUUUACCUUAUGAUCAAAAGCUCACAAAAUUGACAAUUUUUAACGGCCAAUAUAGGAUAUUUGUUAAUUUAACGGUGUAAAUGAAUCGAAAUCGGUUGAAUUUUUGAUAGAAAAUUCUAUUCACUACAUAGAUAAAGAUCAAUAACUCCGAUCUUAAAUUGAUGGAUCCGAUCAUCCAUUUUUAAGACGUCGUUCAAUUUUGACCGUUCAUGUUAUACCCGCUUGAUGGACUUUAUUAUUAUUCCGAAAAAUUGCGAAAUUUAUUUUCUAGAAGAUUCAAAUACUCUAGAUCGUAUUUAACGGAGUGGAUCGUCGAUUCGGAAGCCCCAACAUCGGAAACAACUUAUGAGUAUGAAAGGCUCUAUACUCAUAAGAGUAUAGUAGCCCUACUCAUAUAUAUAUAUAUAGUUGAGCUAGAAUACUCUCAAAAGCACCAAGGGGUUGGUGCUCUUGAGUUUUUAACCAUUGGAUGGAGAGAUGUAGGGUUGAGAUGAUGGUGGUAAGUGGUGGUAGGUGUUGGUAGGUGGAAUAGUAUUUGAUCCAAGGGGUAUUAAUAAUUGGGAAGUAGAUCCAAGGGCUAGAAACUUAGAAGCACCAAGGGAUUGAUGCUUCUAAAAGUAUUCUAGCUCAAUUCAUAUAUGUGUGUGUGUGUGUGUGUGUGUGUGUGUGUGUGUGUGUGUGAGUAGGUCUACUGUACUCUUAUGAGAAUAAACCCCUUUGUACUCAUAAAUUUUCGGCCCUUAGAUGAAGGGAUGUGCGGUUAGGAUGAUAGUGAUCUCCGGUUAGGAAGACAGUGGUCCCCUAGGGUUGAGUGGGUGGUUGGUUGAAUAGUAUGAUCUAACGGGUGGAAAUGAUCAAAGAGGUAUAUCUAACGGCCAAAAAUUUAUAAGUACAAAGGGGUCUAUACUUAUAACAGUAUAGUAGACGAACUUUUAUAUAUAUAUAUAUAUAUAUAUAUAUAUAUAUAUAUAGAGAGAGAGAGAGAGAGAGAGAGAGAGAGAGAGAGAGAGAGUAUGGCUAUUAUACUCGUAUGAAUAUUGGGUCCUUCGUACUUAUAAGUUGUUUUCAAUGAAGGAGCUUCCGAAUCGACGAUCCACUCCGUUAAAUAUGAUUUAGAGUAUUUGAAACUUCUAGAAAAUAAAUUUCGUAAUAUUUCGAAAUCAUAAUAAAGUUCAUCAAACGGACGGUCAAAAUCGAACGACGUCUUAAAAAUGGAUGAUCGGAUCCUUCAAUUUAAGAUCGAAGUUAUUGAUCUUUAUCAAUGUAAAGAAUAGAAUUUUCUAUCAAAAUUCAACCGAUUCCAAUUCUUUUACACCGUUAAACUAGCAAUAUCCCAUCCGGCCGUUAAAAAUUGUCAAUUUUGUGACCUUUU
This 2050-nucleotide long non-coding RNA is filed under the name Ananas comosus (pineapple). RNAcentral describes it as "long non-coding RNA (ACOM_LNC034284)". The record is from RNAcentral. Lineage: Eukaryota; Viridiplantae; Streptophyta; Magnoliopsida; Poales; Bromeliaceae.